GAUGAACGCUGGCGGCGUGCCUAAUACAUGCAAGUCGAGCGAACGGACGAGAAGCUUGCUUCUCUGAUGUUAGCGGCGGACGGGUGAGUAACACGUGGAUAACCUACCUAUAAGACUGGGAUAACUUCGGGAAACCGGAGCUAAUACCGGAUAAUAUCUUGAACCGCAUGGUUCAAAAGUGAAAGACGGUCUUGCUGUCACUUAUAGAUGUAUCCGGGCUGCAUUAGCUAGUUGGUAAGGUCACGGCUUACCAAGGCAACGAUGCGGAGCCGAACGGAGAGAGUGAUCGGCCACAUUGGAACUGGGACACGGACCAGACGACUAAGAGAGGCAGCAGUCGGGAAUCGUCCGCAAUAGGCGAGAACCUGACGGAGCGACGCCGCGUGAGUGAUGACGAUCUUCGGAUCGGAAAACUCUGUUAUGAGUGAAGAACAUAUGUGUAAGUAACUGUGCACAGCUUGACGGUACCGAGUAAGAAAGCCACGGCUAACUACGUG
This 497-nucleotide ribosomal RNA is filed under the name uncultured bacterium. RNAcentral describes it as "partial 16S ribosomal RNA". It matches the Rfam family "Bacterial small subunit ribosomal RNA", at positions 28 to 507 of the family's 1533-position model. The record is from RNAcentral.